This 230-nucleotide long non-coding RNA is filed under the name Vigna radiata. Its description in RNAcentral is "long non-coding RNA (VRAD_LNC004923)". The record is from RNAcentral. Lineage: Eukaryota; Viridiplantae; Streptophyta; Magnoliopsida; Fabales; Fabaceae.
AUUAAAUGUGAACUUUUAAGUCUUCAGAUAAUAAAGUGUUUUGUUCUUCGGUUAUGUGCAUUGAUUAAGGAAGCUGGUAGAUGUGUGUACCAACUAAACAGUCAUAACUCAUGGAAAAAUUUGAGAUAUAAGAUAUUGACUAAUAUCACUCUGUUGUGCACACCAUAACAUGUAAAAUAUAAUAUCUGACAAUACAAGUAGACGAUUUACGGAAACAUAGUUCCUUGCGC